This 75-nucleotide transfer RNA is filed under the name Hyphomicrobium sp. Its description in RNAcentral is "tRNA-Lys". It matches the Rfam family "tRNA". Rfam says of the family: Transfer RNA (tRNA) molecules are approximately 80 nucleotides in length. Their secondary structure includes four short double-helical elements and three loops (D, anti-codon, and T loops). The record is from RNAcentral. Lineage: Bacteria; Pseudomonadati; Pseudomonadota; Alphaproteobacteria; Hyphomicrobiales; Hyphomicrobiaceae.
GGGCCCGUAGCUCAGCGGUAGAGCAUCGGACUUUUAAUCUGAGGGUCGUUGGUUCGAUCCCAACCGGGCUCACCA